UACGUAGGGGGCGAGCGUUGUCCGGAUUUACUGGGCGUAAAGCGUCCGUAGGCGGUUGGCUCAGUCUCUGGUGAAAGCUCCCGGCUCAACCGGGAGAGGUCCAGGGAUACUGGUCGACUGGAGGGCAGUAGAGGCAGACGGAAUUCCCGGAGUAGUGGUGAUAUGCGUAGAGACCGGGAGGAACACCGGUGGCGAAGGCGGUCUGCUGGGCUGUCCCUGACGCUGAGGGACGAAAGCGUGGGGAGCGAACCGG
Molecule: unclassified non-coding RNA, 253 nt
Filed under: uncultured Dehalococcoidia bacterium
Lineage: Bacteria; Bacillati; Chloroflexota; Dehalococcoidia
Description: contains 16S-23S intergenic spacer region
Rfam family: Bacterial small subunit ribosomal RNA
Source: RNAcentral